GGACUGGAGGGUAGUCUGGCAGCAACAUCUGUCACUCCAUUGAUCAUCAGGAUUGACUUGUCUGACCUGGUUGACGUCCCCUUCCUCUGUUAGCACUCCAUAUGUGUCCCCCUUCUAACUGUGUACUUGGACAAAGAGGAUGACCUCUGCUGCUUGACAAGGACUAUUUGGUCAAAGAUACACUCUGCUAGAGCCUCCGAACAGCCUCUCGAGAGAAAAGAGGAGUUCAGAGAAGGAAAAUGCUCAGACUGUCACAGCUGGAGUGGUCAGGCGUCUACUUUC
Ochotona princeps (American pika) is the source of this 282-nucleotide unclassified non-coding RNA. Its record names the gene 7SK. It matches the Rfam family "7SK RNA". Rfam says of the family: 7SK was discovered as an abundant small nuclear RNA in the mid-70s but a possible function has only recently been suggested. NCBI's taxonomy places the organism in Eukaryota, Metazoa, Chordata, Mammalia, Lagomorpha, Ochotonidae. The record is from Ensembl.